Molecule: ribosomal RNA, 65 nt
Filed under: Agaricostilbomycetes sp. TY-139
Lineage: Eukaryota; Fungi; Basidiomycota; Agaricostilbomycetes
Description: partial 26S ribosomal RNA
Source: RNAcentral
UUCAAUAGACAGUGCAUUUNGACCUCAAAUCAAGUAGGACUACCCGCUGAACUUAAGCAUAUCAU